GGACUACUAGGGUUUCUAAUCCAGUUCGCUCCCCUAGCUUUCGCGCCUGAGCGUCAGGUAAGGCCCAGAGAUCCGCCUUCGCCACCGGUGUUCCUCCUGAUAUCUGCGCAUUUCACCGCUACACCAGGAAUUCCGAUCUCCCCUACCUACCUCUAGCCGGGCAGUAUCGGAUGCAGACCCGAGGUUGAGCCUCGGGAUUUCACAUCCGACUUACCAAGCCGCCUGCGCGCUCUUUACGCCCAAUGAAUCCGGACAACGCUCGCCUCCUACGUCUUACCGCGGCUGCUGGCAC
Molecule: ribosomal RNA, 292 nt
Filed under: uncultured bacterium
Lineage: Bacteria
Description: partial 16S ribosomal RNA
Source: RNAcentral